RNAcentral lists this ribosomal RNA (478 nucleotides) under uncultured bacterium. RNAcentral's name for it is "bacterial SSU rRNA". It matches the Rfam family "Bacterial small subunit ribosomal RNA", at positions 30 to 507 of the family's 1533-position model. The record is from RNAcentral.
AUUGAACGCUGGCGGCAUGCCUUACACAUGCAAGUCGAACGGUAGAGGGGCAACCCUCGAGAGUGGCGAACGGGUGAGUAACGCAUCGGAACGUGCCCAGUCGUGGGGGAUAACACUUCGAAAGAAGUGCUAAUACCGCAUACGACCUGAGGGUGAAAGCGGGGGAUCGCAAGACCUCGCGCGAUUGGAGCGGCCGAUGUCAGAUUAGGUAGUUGGUGGGGUAAAGGCCUACCAAGCCGACGAUCUGUAGUUGGUCUGAGAGGACGACCAGCCACACUGGGACUGAGACACGGCCCAGACUCCUACGGGAGGCAGCAGUGGGGAAUUUUGGACAAUGGGCGCAAGCCUGAUCCAGCCAUGCCGCGUGCAGGAAGAAGGCCUUCGGGUUGUAAACUGCUUUUGUCAGGGAAGAAAUCUUCUGGGCUAAUACCCCGGGAGGAUGACGGUACCUGAAGAAUAAGCACCGGCUAACUACGUG